RNAcentral lists this ribosomal RNA (254 nucleotides) under uncultured bacterium. Its description in RNAcentral is "partial 16S ribosomal RNA". It matches the Rfam family "Bacterial small subunit ribosomal RNA", at positions 524 to 776 of the family's 1533-position model. The record is from RNAcentral.
UACGUAGGUGGCAAGCGUUGUCCGGAUUUAUUGGGUUUAAAGGGUGCGUAGGCGGCUUUGUAAGUCAGUGGUGAAAUACUCCAGCUUAACUGGAGGGGUGCCAUUGAUACUGCGGAGCUUGAGUACAGAUGAGGUAGGCGGAAUUGACGGUGUAGCGGUGAAAUGCAUAGAUAUCGUCAAGAACACCGAUAGUGAAGACAGCUCACUAAGCUCAAACUGACGCUGAGGCACGAAAGUGUGGGGAGUCAAACAGG